GUGACAUCAUAGGUGUUUACGUUUCUCAACAAUCCAGAAACGUAGAACUUUUUCUUUGAAAGAGAGAAGUUUACAUGGAGUGUUAUACAGGAAAUUCAGUGCCCAUCACUAUGAAUAAGAUACUUGCGCCGGAAUUUAUCCCCAGGAGUUUGAGAAAGUUCAGGUCAUGGCAAUGGGAAUGUUAGUUUUGGUCUGACUCACAAGGAAACAGUGUUCGAGUCUCACAUCACCAUCGGAGUAUUGCCAGUUGGGACUGUCGAUUACAUCUGUCUACUCGAUACAACUUGAAAUGUUGUAUGUCCAAGAAGUUUGUGGUGCUGACAACAAAGCCGAGGUUAUUCUAUUGGUCGAACUGGAAAGGAAGAUGCGCUUGAGUUCCAAGUUAUCGCAAGAGCCAUUCUGAAAUCUAUGAUGUGAAGCCCUGUAUGCUGUGUUGAAGCUGGCUGUUGUUGGAAGUACCUCUUUGACUUAGUUAAUUGAAGAUUCAUGAUUUAAAUCGAUAAAAAGACUGACAUCAGCAUAUCUCUGAAUGAAGUCAAGCAUCAGUCAAAAAUUGUAGAAUCUUUUAGUUUUUUAUUUUAAAAAUAAGUAUCUUAACUAAUUCUGUAUCAUGUACUUCAUAUUUGUUUUAAAUACGUGAUAAUACAUGCCAGCUCCAUACUUGAUUGAAAUUAUUUAUAACAUUCCCGACAAGCCUGUGGCGU
This is a long non-coding RNA of Thrips palmi, 704 nucleotides long. RefSeq lists it as uncharacterized. The transcript has 4 exons. NCBI's taxonomy places the organism in Eukaryota, Metazoa, Arthropoda, Insecta, Thysanoptera, Thripidae. The record is from RefSeq and is a predicted model, not a curated record.